RNAcentral lists this ribosomal RNA (428 nucleotides) under uncultured Acidobacterium sp. RNAcentral's name for it is "bacterial SSU rRNA". It matches the Rfam family "Bacterial small subunit ribosomal RNA", at positions 958 to 1385 of the family's 1533-position model. Lineage: Bacteria; Pseudomonadati; Acidobacteriota; Terriglobia; Terriglobales; Acidobacteriaceae. The record is from RNAcentral.
AACGCGAAGAACCUUACCUGGGCUCGAACGGCUUCUCAACGCCGGUGGAAACACCGGUAUCCCGCAAGGGAGUGGAGUCGAGGUGCUGCAUGGCUGUCGUCAGCUCGUGUCGUGAGAUGUUGGGUUAAGUCCCGCAACGAGCGCAACCCUUGUCCUGUGUUGCCAUCAUUUAGUUGGGAACUCGCAGGAGACCGCCAGCGAUAAGCUGGAGGAAGGUGGGGAUGACGUCAAGUCCUCAUGGCCUUUAUGUCCAGGGCUACACACGUGCUACAAUGGACGGUACAAUACGUCGCUAACCCGCGAGGGGGAGCCAAUCGCUAAAAACCGUUCUCAGUUCGGAUUGCAGGCUGCAACUCGCCUGCAUGAAGCUGGAAUCGCUAGUAAUGGCAGAUCAGCACGCUGCCGUGAAUACGUUCCCGGGCCUUGUA